GCGGAUUUAGCUCAGUUGGGAGAGCGCCAGACUGAAUAUCUGGAGGUCCUGUGUUCGAUCCACAGAAUUCGCACCA
RNAcentral lists this transfer RNA (76 nucleotides) under Escherichia coli. Its description in RNAcentral is "tRNA-Phe". It matches the Rfam family "tRNA". Rfam says of the family: Transfer RNA (tRNA) molecules are approximately 80 nucleotides in length. Lineage: Bacteria; Pseudomonadati; Pseudomonadota; Gammaproteobacteria; Enterobacterales; Enterobacteriaceae. The record is from RNAcentral.